UUUGUGUAGCUCUGAUGUCUCUCUGAAGUUCAACCUGAAGUUGCUCCACCAUGAAACGGACUUCAGCAAUCAAGGUCUACAAGUUGCUUUUCAUGAUGGGAUGUAGCUGUUUUUUGCUCCUGGGAGUUGGGAGGUAACCAGGCAGGCGAUGCUGUGACACGGAGGAAGAGGGUGUAGUUUCAGUGGAUGUGGAUGUGCAAAGUUGCAUAGGUUC
Long non-coding RNA from Cyprinus carpio (common carp), 214 nucleotides. RefSeq lists it as uncharacterized. The record is from RefSeq and is a predicted model, not a curated record. Lineage: Eukaryota; Metazoa; Chordata; Actinopteri; Cypriniformes; Cyprinidae. The transcript is spliced from 3 exons.